AUCGCUUCUUGGCCUUUUGACUAAAAUCAAGUGUAGUAUCUGUUCUUAUCAGUUUAAUGAAAGGAGUCAUUAAACGAUGCCAAUUAAUUGCCACCUCUU
Molecule: small nuclear RNA, 99 nt
Filed under: Erinaceus europaeus (western European hedgehog)
Lineage: Eukaryota; Metazoa; Chordata; Mammalia; Eulipotyphla; Erinaceidae
Description: U2 spliceosomal RNA
Rfam family: U2 spliceosomal RNA
About the family: U2 is a small nuclear RNA (snRNA) component of the spliceosome (involved in pre-mRNA splicing). Complementary binding between U2 snRNA (in an area lying towards the 5' end but 3' to hairpin I) and the branchpoint sequence (BPS) of the intron results the bulging out of an unpaired adenosine, on the BPS, which initiates a nucleophilic attack at the intronic 5' splice site, thus starting the first of two transesterification reactions that mediate splicing.
Source: Rfam by way of RNAcentral